AGCUUUGUGCAGUGGCAGUAUUAUAGCCAAUGAGGUUUAUCUGAGGCGUGAUUAUUGCUAACUGAAAACUUUCCCCAGCCUCUGUCAUUAUAUCAAAAUAAUUAAGAUAAACACAGAAGCUUGUUUU
This 127-nucleotide small nuclear RNA is filed under the name Mus pahari (shrew mouse). Its description in RNAcentral is "predicted gene, 23459 (MGP_PahariEiJ_G0033829.1)". It matches the Rfam family "U4 spliceosomal RNA". From Rfam's summary of the family: U4 small nuclear RNA (U4 snRNA) is a component of the major U2-dependent spliceosome. Lineage: Eukaryota; Metazoa; Chordata; Mammalia; Rodentia; Muridae. The record is from RNAcentral.